This 68-nucleotide microRNA precursor is filed under the name Bombyx mori (domestic silkworm). Its description in RNAcentral is "mir-2774 microRNA precursor family". It matches the Rfam family "mir-2774 microRNA precursor family". Lineage: Eukaryota; Metazoa; Arthropoda; Insecta; Lepidoptera; Bombycidae. The record is from Rfam by way of RNAcentral.
ACAACAUUCGGACCGUCGGUCUACCGAGCAAAUAUCACCCGCUCGGUGGAAGUUCUUACCUCCGUCGU